Molecule: transfer RNA, 90 nt
Filed under: Patescibacteria group bacterium
Lineage: Bacteria
Description: tRNA-Ser
Rfam family: tRNA
About the family: Transfer RNA (tRNA) molecules are approximately 80 nucleotides in length.
Source: RNAcentral
GGAGAGGUGGCAGAGUGGUCGAAUGCGCUAGACUCGAAAUCUGGUGUAUCCGCAAGGGUACCGAGGGUUCGAAUCCCUCCCUCUCCGCCA